This 253-nucleotide unclassified non-coding RNA is filed under the name Patescibacteria group bacterium. RNAcentral describes it as "contains 16S-23S intergenic spacer region". It matches the Rfam family "Bacterial small subunit ribosomal RNA", at positions 524 to 776 of the family's 1533-position model. The record is from RNAcentral.
UACAGAGACCUCAAACGUUAUCCGGAUUCAUUGGGCGUAAAGCGUCCGCAGGUGGUUUGAAAAGUUGGUGGUUAAAUCCUGGAGCUUAACUUCAGGACUGCUGUCAAAACUCUCAGACUUGAGGGUGGGAGAGGUAAGCGGAACUGCCGGUGUAGUCGUAAUAAGCGCUGAUAUCGGCAGGAACACCAAAGGCGAAGGCAGCUUACUGGAACACACCUGACACUCAUGGACGAAAGCGUGGGGAGCGAAUAGG